RNAcentral lists this ribosomal RNA (484 nucleotides) under uncultured bacterium. Its description in RNAcentral is "partial 16S ribosomal RNA". It matches the Rfam family "Bacterial small subunit ribosomal RNA", at positions 29 to 507 of the family's 1533-position model. The record is from RNAcentral.
AUUGAACGCUGGCGGCAUGCUUUACACAUGCAAGUCGAACGGCAGCGCGGGCUUCGGCCUGGCGGCGAGUGGCGAACGGGUGAGUAAUACAUCGGAACGUGCCCAGUAGUGGGGGAUAGCUCGGCGAAAGCCGGAUUAAUACCGCAUACGACCUGAGGGUGAAAGCGGGGGAUCUUCGGACCUCGCGCUAUUGGAGGGGCCGAUGGCAGAUUAGCUAGUUGGUGGGGUAAAGGCCUACCAAGGCGACGAUCUCUAGCUGGUCUGAGAGGACGACCAGCCACACGGGGACUGAGACAGGGCCCAGACUCCUACGGGAGGCAGCAGUGGGGAAUUUUGGACAAUGGGCGAAAGCCUGAUCCAGCAAUGCCGCGUGUGUGAUGAAGGCCUUCGGGUUGUAAAGCACUUUUGGCGGGAACGAAAAGGACUGUGCCAAUACCACGGUUCGAUGACGGUACCCGCAGAAUAAGCACCGGCUAACUACGUG